RNAcentral lists this long non-coding RNA (1168 nucleotides) under Homo sapiens (human). RNAcentral describes it as "HSALNT0157621". Lineage: Eukaryota; Metazoa; Chordata; Mammalia; Primates; Hominidae. The record is from RNAcentral.
AGACCGUUCCUGAUUUAUGGUGGUUCAACUUACAACUACAUCAAUGAAUGACUUGAGACGUUCAACACCUUAUUAUAAAGCACGCUGUGUGUUAGAUGACUGUACCCAACCGUAUGCUAAUCUAAAUAAGCCCUGGCCCCGAGAUGAGCAAUGUCGCAGCAGUUAGAGCUCACCAACCAUCAGACACCGCCCAACGGAACCCCAUUCCAGCAGCCACCACUACAGCUUUGAUUAGGCCAGAGACUGAUUUCAGUAACUUUCUCCUAAUUAAAAGACCCCCAAGCAUGGACUGGUUCCAGCUGCUUUACAGAGGCUGAGCACUUGAGUGCCUCUGUGUCCUGAAAAGAACAUUUGAUGUAUAUGGCCCAACUGUAACUCAUUUAAAUGUUGGGUUUACACCCCAAGGUGAACUUGGGUCAUAUGUAACAGGCAUGUUUGUGCAUUAUGCAUGUGCCAGCCCCCUUCAUGAAUAUUCAUAGCUGCUCCUAUAAUCUGUUGAAUAUGCAUGCUUGGCCAAUCCAUUCAGCAUGGACCCCUGUUCCAUUCUCCUCUCCCUCGCAGGUGACUGCCUCCCAGGCUCCAGGCUGGGCAAUGCUUCCCAGCCUGUUGGGAUGGCCACCUUGCAGCCUGUAACCCUUUGGAAGGUAGUUUCCUUUCUAAAUGUGUAGGUUGUGUGAUUUUGAGUUAACAAAGUUCUUGAAAUCUCUCUUUCAUUCUUUAACAAAUAUGAGGGGGUCAUCUAUCCCGUGCCAGGCGCUAGAAGAAGUGAACCAGACAGAGUUCAUCUCAAACUUUAAGGAACUCUCAAUCCAGUGAGGUUAAACAGGCAGGGAAAGUGGCAAGUUCACAGGCAGGGCUAAGUGCCUCAUAGGAAAGCCCUCCCCAGGUCAGUGAUAGGGUUUGGCUCUGUCCCCACCCAAAUCUCAUCUUGAACUGUAGCUCCCACGAUUCCCAUGCGUCAUGGGAGGAACCCAGUGGGAGGUAAUUGAAUCAUGGGGGUGGGUUUUUUUUCUGUGCUGUUCUCUUGAUCGUGAGUGAGUCUCAUGAGAUCUGAUGGUUUUAUAAAGGGGAGUUCCCCUACACAAGCUCUCUCUUGCCUGCUGCCAUGUAAGACGUCCCUUGCUCUUCCACCAUGAUUUUGAGGCCGCCCCAGCCCUGUGGAAUUGCG